Molecule: ribosomal RNA, 622 nt
Filed under: uncultured beta proteobacterium
Lineage: Bacteria; Pseudomonadati; Pseudomonadota; Betaproteobacteria
Description: bacterial SSU rRNA
Rfam family: Bacterial small subunit ribosomal RNA
Source: RNAcentral
GAGUUUGAUCAUGGCUCAGAACGAACGCUAGCGGCGUGCCUAACACAUGCAAGUCGAACGGUAACAGGCCUUCGGGUGCUGACGAGUGGCGAACGGGUGAGUAAUGCAUCGGAACGUGCCCAAUCGUGGGGGAUAACGUAGCGAAAGUUACGCUAAUACCGCAUACGCCCUGAGGGGGAAAGCAGGGGAUCGCAAGACCUUGCGCGAAUGGAGCGGCCGAUGUCAGAUUAGCUAGUUGGUGGGGUAAAGGCCCACCAAGGCGACGAUCUGUAGCGGGUCUGAGAGGAUGAUCCGCCACACUGGGACUGAGACACGGCCCAGACUCCUACGGGAGGCAGCAGUGGGGAAUUUUGGACAAUGGGCGCAAGCCUGAUCCAGCCAUGCCGCGUGCGGGACGAAGGCCUUCGGGUUGUAAACCGCUUUCAGCCGGAAAGAAAUCGCCAAGGUUAAUACCUUUGGUGGAUGACGGUACCGGAAGAAGAAGCACCGGCUAACUACGUGCCAGCAGCCGCGGUAAUACGUAGGGUGCGAGCGUUAAUCGGAAUUACUGGGCGUAAAGGGUGCGCAGGCGGUUUUGUAAGCCAGGCGUGAAAUCCCCGGGCUUAACCUGGGAACUGCGUUU